Molecule: non-coding RNA, 65 nt
Organism: Chrysochloris asiatica (Cape golden mole)
Lineage: Eukaryota; Metazoa; Chordata; Mammalia; Afrosoricida; Chrysochloridae
Source: the annotation of a RefSeq genome assembly
GGCCCUGAGGUGUUAUCAUACCGAAUUGCAAAUUCGGGGAAGUAGUCGACAAACUGCCGGGGCUU